RNAcentral lists this non-coding RNA (27 nucleotides) under Bombyx mori (domestic silkworm). Lineage: Eukaryota; Metazoa; Arthropoda; Insecta; Lepidoptera; Bombycidae. The record is from RNAcentral.
UGUAAGGAAUCGUCGCACUAUGGAACA